AACGCACAUUGCGCCCUUUGGCAUUCCGAAGGGCAUGCCUGUUCGAGCGUCAUUACACCAAUCAAGCCUGGCUUGGUAUUGGGCGACGGGGCCGUCACACGCCCCGCGCCCCAAAGACCCUCCGGCGGGACGGACCGAAUCUCAGCGUUGUGCAAACUUGUCGCUGGCGAGACGGGACGGCCGUGCCGUUAAACCCCCCAUUCUAAGGUUGACCUCGGAUCAGGUAGGGCUACCCGCUGAACUUAA
Molecule: unclassified non-coding RNA, 246 nt
Filed under: uncultured fungus
Lineage: Eukaryota; Fungi
Description: partial contains 5.8S ribosomal RNA, internal transcribed spacer 2, and large subunit ribosomal RNA
Source: RNAcentral